This 1458-nucleotide ribosomal RNA is filed under the name uncultured Bordetella sp. RNAcentral's name for it is "partial 16S-23S ribosomal RNA intergenic spacer". It matches the Rfam family "Bacterial small subunit ribosomal RNA". Lineage: Bacteria; Pseudomonadati; Pseudomonadota; Betaproteobacteria; Burkholderiales; Alcaligenaceae. The record is from RNAcentral.
GGUUUGAUCGGGCGGCUCAGAUUGAACGCUGGCGGGAUGCUUUACACAUGCAAGUCGAACGGCAGCACGGACUUCGGUCUGGUGGCGAGUGGCGAACGGGGUGAGUAAUGUAUCGGAACGCCUAGUAGCGGGGAUAACUACGCGAAAGCGUAGCUAAUAAUGUGAUGGCCCUUCGGGGGAAAGCGGGGACCUUCGGGCCUCGCACUAUUAGAGCGGCCGAUAUCGGAUUAGCUAGUUGUGGGGUAACGUGGUCACCACAGGACAUCCGGUAGCUGGUUUGAGAGGACGACCAGCCGUUACCUCGGGACUGAGACACGGCCCAGACUCCUACGGAGGCAGCAGUGGGGAAUUUUGGACAAUGGGGAAACCCCUGGAUCCAGCCAUCCCGCGUGUGCGAUGAAGGCCUUUUUGUUGUAAAGCACUUAUGAAAGAAACGGCACGGGAUAAUACCCUGUGCAAUGAUUUGCACUGCAGAAUAAGCACUGGCAACGAUGCAACAGCAGAAAGUCGCGGUAAUACGUGUAGGUGUGUUAAUCAAAAUUACUGGGCGUAAAGCGUGCGCAGCAGGCGGCUCGGAAAGAAAGAUGAAAUCCCAGAGCUUAACUUUGGAACUGCAUUUUUAACUACUGAGCGAGUGUGUCAGAGGGAGGUGGAAUUCGUGGCAGUGAAACGCGGAGAUAUGCGGAGGAACACCGAUGGCGAAGGGCAGCCUCCUGGGAUAACACUGACGCUCAUGCAUCGAAAGUGGGGAGUAAAACAGGAUUAGAUACCCUGGUAGUCCACGCCCUAAACGAUGUCAACUAGCUGGGUUGUGCCUUCGCCCGGUAAAGCGCAGCUAACGCGUGAAGUUGACCGCCUGGGGAGUACGGUCGCAAGAUUAAAACCAAAGGAAUUGACGGGACCUACACAAGCGGUGGAUGAUGUGGAUUAAUUCUGAUGCACGCGAAACCUUACCUACCCUUGACAUGUCUGAAUCCCGAAGAGAUUUGGGAGUGCUCGUGAGAACUGGAACACAGGUGCUGCAUGGCUGUCGUCAGCUCGUGUCGUGAGAUGUUGCUAAGUCCCAACGAGCGUAACCCUUGUCAUUAGUUGCUACGAAAGGGCACUCUAAUGAGACUGCCGGUGACAAACCGGAGGAAGGUGGGGAUGACGUCAAGUCCUCGCAGCCUCAGGUAGGCUUCGGCACGCCGCAAUGGUCGGGUCGCCAACUCCGCGAGGGGGAGCCAAUCCCAGAAACCCGAUCGUAGUCCGGAUCGCAGUCUGCAACUCGACUGCGUGAAGUCGGAAUCGCUAGUAAUCGCGGAUCAGUGCUGUCGCGGUGAAUACGUUCCCGGGUCUUGUACACACCGCCCGUCACACCAUGGGAGUGGGUUUUACCAGAAGUAGUAGCUCAACUCGUAAGGAGGGCGAUUACCACGGUAGGAUUCAUGACUGGGGUGGAAGCUUUUAACAAGGUAG